RNAcentral lists this ribosomal RNA (839 nucleotides) under uncultured Bacillus sp. RNAcentral describes it as "bacterial SSU rRNA". It matches the Rfam family "Bacterial small subunit ribosomal RNA", at positions 56 to 876 of the family's 1533-position model. Lineage: Bacteria; Bacillati; Bacillota; Bacilli; Caryophanales; Bacillaceae. The record is from RNAcentral.
UGCAAGUCGAGCGAAUCUGAGGGAGCUUGCUCCUAAAGAUUAGCGGCGGACGGGUGAGUAACACGUGGGCAACCUGCCUGUAAGACUGGGAUAACUUCGGGAAACCGGAGCUAAUACCGGAUAAUCCAAGAAACCACAUGGUUUCUUGCUAAAAGAUGGCUCCGGCUAUCACUUACAGAUGGGCCCGCGGCGCAUUAGCUAGUUGGUGAGGUAAUGGCUCACCAAGGCGACGAUGCGUAGCCGACCUGAGAGGGUGAUCGGCCACACUGGGACUGAGACACGGCCCAGACUCCUACGGGAGGCAGCAGUAGGGAAUCUUCCGCAAUGGACGAAAGUCUGACGGAGCAACGCCGCGUGAGUGAUGAAGGUUUUCGGAUCGUAAAACUCUGUUGUUAGGGAAGAACAAGUACCGUUCGAAUAGGGCGGUACCUUGACGGUACCUAACCAGAAAGCCACGGCUAACUACGUGCCAGCAGCCGCGGUAAUACGUAGGUGGCAAGCGUUGUCCGGAAUUAUUGGGCGUAAAGCGCGCGCAGGCGGUCUUUUAAGUCUGAUGUGAAAGCCCCCGGCUCAACCGGGGAGGGUCAUUGGAAACUGGGAGACUUGAGUGCAGAAGAGAAGAGUGGAAUUCCACGUGUAGCGGCGAAAUGCGUAGAGAUGUGGAGGAACACCAGUGGCGAAGGCGACUCUUUGGUCUGUAACUGACGCUGAGGCGCGAAAGCGUGGGGAGCAAACAGGAUUAGAUACCCUGGUAGUCCACGCCGUAAACGAUGAGUGCUAAGUGUUAGAGGGUUUCCGCCCUUUAGUGCUGCAGCAAACGCAUUAAGCACUCCGCCUGG